Molecule: ribosomal RNA, 571 nt
Filed under: uncultured Roseobacter sp.
Lineage: Bacteria; Pseudomonadati; Pseudomonadota; Alphaproteobacteria; Rhodobacterales; Roseobacteraceae
Description: bacterial SSU rRNA
Rfam family: Bacterial small subunit ribosomal RNA
Source: RNAcentral
UGGGGAAUCUUAGACAAUGGGCGCAAGCCUGAUCUAGCCAUGCCGCGUGUGUGAUGAAGGCCUUAGGGUCGUAAAGCACUUUCGCCAGAGAUGAUAAUGACAGUAUCUGGUAAAGAAACCCCGGCUAACUCCGUGCCAGCAGCCGCGGUAAUACGGAGGGGGUUAGCGUUGUUCGGAAUUACUGGGCGUAAAGCGUACGUAGGCGGAUCAGAAAGUAUGGGGUGAAAUCCCAGGGCUCAACCCUGGAACUGCCUCAUAAACUCCUGGUCUAGAGUUCGAGAGAGGUGAGUGGAAUUCCGAGUGUAGAGGUGAAAUUCGUAGAUAUUCGGAGGAACACCAGUGGCGAAGGCGGCUCACUGGCUCGAUACUGACGCUGAGGUACGAAAGUGUGGGGAGCAAACAGGAUUAGAUACCCUGGUAGUCCACACCGUAAACGAUGAAUGCCAGUCGUCGGGUAGCAUGCUAUUCGGUGACACACCUAACGGAUUAAGCAUUCCGCCUGGGGAGUACGGUCGCAAGAUUAAAACUCAAAGGAAUUGACGGGGGCCCGCACAAGCGGUGGAGCAUGUGG